CGAGGGGUGUAAAUGCCGAGCUGUUCCGUCCUGACGUCACGUGUCAUGUUCCUUACACGAAGGUCAAAGGGUAUUACUGUCGUUCUAACAUUUUUUUUCUGCCGGAUAAAUAUACAAAUCAGGAAAGUGUUCAUUAAAUAAAGCAUUAAAUACGCUAGCUAGCGUUACAGCAAAGGGUUAUGUUCUGCUACAUUACUAGCUAGCUAAUGUCAUACAAUAAGGUAUUAAAUAAGCUAGCUAGCAUUGUAGCAAAGGGUUAUGUUCUGCUGCAUUACUAGCUAGCUAAUGUCAUACAAUAAGGUAUUAAAUAAGCUAGCUAGCAUUGUAGCAAAGGGUUAUGUUCUGCUGCAUUACUAGCUAGCUAAUGUCAUACAAUAAGGUAUUAAAUAAACUAGCUAGCAUUGCAGCAAAGGGUUAUGUUCUGCUGCAUUACUAGCUAGCUAAUGUCAUACAAUAAG
This is a long non-coding RNA of Ictalurus punctatus (channel catfish), 458 nucleotides long. NCBI's taxonomy places the organism in Eukaryota, Metazoa, Chordata, Actinopteri, Siluriformes, Ictaluridae. The record is from Ensembl.